Molecule: long non-coding RNA, 5410 nt
Organism: Oryza sativa Japonica Group (Japanese rice)
Lineage: Eukaryota; Viridiplantae; Streptophyta; Magnoliopsida; Poales; Poaceae
Source: RefSeq, a predicted model, not a curated record
UCUCGCCCUUGCCUUGUGGUUUGUUUCGAUUGCGUUGUUGCAAUCCCGUGGUCCUCCGCUGCUUUUAUUUGGGAAAAAUCGAGUCCCAUUCAUGGACAGAUCGUAAUCCUCGUCCGAUUCCCCUUCCGUGCUUGACUAGGUCUCUCCCUCAAUCUGUUUCUCUAUUGUGCUAUGCAUCCGAGUUGGAAACAUAUCCGACUCCUUCCAUGUCACAACCUCUCCAGAUCGAGUCCUGUGCAAUCCGACUUCCUGCUACUCAGGCUCUGGCCACGUUCCAUGGUCCCGGCUUCAACACCAACACGUGCACACCGCCAUCUCCGUGACCUCCUCAGCCUCCACGCACCCGUACGACCUCUAGCGUAGCCACCUAGCCUCCCGCUGAACCUCGCCAGUGACGAAUACCGCCGGUCAGUUGCAACCAAUGCUUAUUGCUGUGCUAACACAAUUGAUCAGCGCAUUGACGGUCUGAAAUUGACUGCCCUUCUGCUUGAUUCCGUCGCUUUUCAUAUGUGCGCUUUCUCCGUAGCAGUCUGUCACGCAAAUACCUCGUCAACACCUCCAAAACAGCCUAUAGGAUCCACACGCUCCGACUUUUGAUUGAACGCCAUCAAUCUAAUCGCGAGCCGAAGCCGAUAAGUCGCAUGCCGUCUUCCCAGCCACCGAACGAUCCGAGCGCUACGUCUAGCCGUCUCCCUGUCGAACGUAGCUUAUCGAAAGGCCCGGGCCACCCCGCCCAGAGUGUUCGAAUCCACCGAUCGAGAACGCCGAUCGCCUCCAGCUUCAAUCAACCCGAGCAUGCGGCCGCACGUCUCCCUGUCGAGAGUAGCUCACCGGAAAGUCCGAGCCACCCGCCCGAAGUGUCCGACCCACCGAUUGGAUCGCCAAUCGCUUCCGCCGCCAUCAACCCGAGCACCACGUCUAGUCAUCUCCCUGUUGAAAGCAGCCAUCGACGGUUCCGGCCGCCGCCAGAAGUGUUCGAUCCACCGAUCAAGACUCCAUUGAUCGCCGCCGUGCUCCACCUUGCACCAAUGCCCCUCCCUGGGCAUUACAGCAGGCUAUGCGGUGUGGAGCACCUCCAUUGCGCCUCUACCAUGGACCUUCUGCAGGCUCUGAUACCACUUGUUAUAAAACCAGCCCUGAAAUCAACAUCGGUAGCUAAAACGCGGAAGAAAACGCCAUUGGAGAUCCAAAACAAUGACGACACCGAGACACAAUAUUUGGUAACGGAGUUCAGCCGUAGCCUACAUCUCCGAGGCACUGAUUACGGGCUCUCCUCCCCGAUCCAGCAUAUACAGCGUAUCAGAGUUACAACGACUCAUGGCCGGUCGAUGCCGGCAGCCGCUCCCUCUCGCUAUGCUAAGUCGCUAUGCGGUUACAACAGGCACGCCCCUCUAUUUAUGAGAGAACCUAGGAUAGAGUCCGACUCAUACUCUAGUCCUAAUACCUAUUACAACUCCAAGUCCUAAACUGUAACCGACUACGUACACAUAUUCGACACAAACUCUAACAGUGGCUAUGGUUGGAAAACAAUUAUAUAACAAGAUCAGAUUACCUACGGUUGGAAGAAAAAGAAAUUGAAAGUGUUGGACCGAUAAAAUAAUUUGUUUUUCCAAAAUUGGUCGGUUCAGUGAAAUAAGCGUGUGGAGAGUCAUAUUGUCCAUUCGUUUUAUUCAAAAACUUUUGUAAAAUAUGUAAAACAUAAAAAUAUAUUUAACAAUAAAUCAAAUGAUAGGAAAAUAAUUAAUAAUUACUUAAAUUUUUCGAAUAAGAUGAACGGUCAAACAUGUUAAAAAAAAUCAACGGCGUCAAAUAUUUAGGAACGGAGGGAGUACUUUAUAAGAAAAAUUCCAUAUAUACCUCUAAUUUUUUAUUGAAAAAGACCGUCUCAUGCCCUGCCAUUGUCAUUGCUCACAGCUCCGCCACCUUGUGCCCCGCCAUCGCCGUCGCUCGCUCGCUCGCUCAUGAGCUGUUGCUUGUUUUGCCGCUGCGACUCGCCGUUCCUAGCCUCGCCGCCGACAUAUCCACUCACGAGCUCGCACCCGCCACCGUCGUCGCCAUCGCCUGUUCUCGGCCAGGGUUAGGAUUGGAGCAGCAUAGAGAACAAGCGACGACUACAUAACCUAGUAUAUAUAGUAGUAUUUUUCUUUCAACUACUUGCAAGCGUGAGCUUCUUCAGUUGACCCAAAUUGAACAACAUAUUAUGGAAUUUAUCAGGAUGUACGAUCCUUCAUUAUUUCUACAUCCUCCAUUUCAAAAUGAGUUAACCUAUUGUUCAGAUUUGCAGUACUAGCAUAUUCAAUAUUAGAUUAACUUAUUUUGGUACGAAGAGAGUACAUUAAUUGUUCAUGUUGCUUCCUAACCGAUAAAAGGAGAACAAAGAGAAGAGUAACCAUCGUCAAUGGAGAAAUCCUUUGUCAUAUCUUACAUACCCAUGAAAGGUUCAAUGCAUCACAAGUGUAUUUGUGCAGUGUACGUAGCCUACGCAAAAAUAGGAUUGGGAGUCAAAAGGAAGAAACGAAGCAUAUCGUGAAUUGGUCAGCCAGCCACAUUACCAAUUUUCUCCGGCAGCAUUGAGUUUAACAAACCGAUGAAGCAAUGUAGUGGAGAUGCUCUAGUUGUCCAGACGAGAAAUGGCGGCACUGAAGCUGGUCAGAUCAGGAUGAAGCAGCAAAGGCCUGCCGUUGUUGGCCAAGAAAUUCUGAAACUAUCAAGUACACCUUCAGGAUCAAUAUAUGGUAGCAUCAUCCUUUUGAAGCGUCGUCUAAAAUCCUUACGUACCAAGCCCUGUUAGCUCAGUUUUUCUACUGAACAUGAACACAUUUACUUGUCUAUAGCUAGCUAGUAUUUGUCGAUCCGGAGGUUAGAAACACAAACAAAAAUGAUAUCGUGGUCCGACCAAAAUGGGACGGACAUACCCCACAAUGGCGCCGUGUGGACCCAACUGAAACAUUGGGUAGUUGGCGACAGCUCUUUUGGGCUGAAACUUCUAAGUUUUCAAGUGAUGAGGUAUAUUCUAUUAAGUCUGGGCUAUAUUGCAUACUUAUGGAGCAUAAUGCUGGGAUAUAGCUAGUCUUGUUGAUUUUCAUUUUCUAAUAAUCUAAUAUAGUUGCAUGCUUCGCCAGACUCCAACACAUGCAUAUAUUGAAAGCCAUCUUAAAACUGACAUCACUAAGUACUUGCCAUACUACACUAUAUAUGCACUAAUGUGAAAUAUAUAAGUUACUUAGACUUCUGGUAUCCUACUAUCCUUCAUGUUUACACCCUAGCAGCAAAGAUGAGAAUUUUUUUUAUCUUUUAGACUUUUUUAUUUUCUAAUUUUAUUAAUAGAACUUUCCAAAACGUAUUUCCAAAUCUAAAGCUUUUGGCCGCGCUAGCCCGCCUAGCGUGGCCAAAUAACUUUGUUACGCCACGUGCAGAUGUCGUGGCAGUGUUGUUCUGCCACACCAGCCUCUUGCCUCUCGGCUAGCAUGGCUAAAAGAUUCAGUUUUUGAAAAUAUUUAUUUGGAAAGAUUUAUUAAUAAAAUUAAAAAAAGUCUAAAAAAUAAAAAAAAUCGAAAGAUGACUCAUUUAUUUGAAAUCUAUAACACUUAAUAUACAUGUUGUUGCAUACAUGGGAUUGAGAGGUAUAUAUAGGAAAUAAAACGAAAUUAAGCUUUACGUAUCUGGGUGUCCAAGAACGCUUCGAUGUAUUCUAUUGGACGAAGCAUUAACAUCAUAAGCGGCUACGGUUGGAAGAAAAAAAUUAUAUAACAAUAUCAUAGCUCCUAUGGUUGGAAGAAAAAGAAUUGAAAGUCUACGACCAAUAAAUUAAUUUGUUUUUUUUAAAUUGGUCAGUUCGGUAAAAUAAACUAACCGUGUGGAGAGUCACAUUGUUCGCUUGGAAUGCUACUUUACUGUGUUGUGCUCCCUCAUCAUGAAAAUUGUUUCACGAUGAAAAGCAGUUGUUUCACCAUGAAAGGAAAUUAUAUGAAAAUUGUCAUGGGAUGAAAACCUGAUUGGAACUUGGAAACAGCGAAAUGGCACAAGCAAAGCGCACGUACGCGAUGCGAGGAGACAUACUCUGCCUUUGUCAAUAGGAUGGUUCGCAUGAAUCGGACUACCAGCAAUGACUGAAGCGGAAAAAACGAAAAUACUCACGCUCGGGCGAUCGGCGCAGGGGGAGCCGGAUCGGGCGCUCCCCCGCGCGCCUCUCCCCUCACGUGCGUACCUGUUGGGCCCAACACUUCUCCCUCCCCUUUUUUUAAAAAAGAUGUUUCAUUAUAAUGUUUUACUUUUUAUAGAUCUAAUGUUUUACCAAUGAGAGGGAGGGAGAGAGCGGCGGCAUCUUGGCUACAGCCAACAUUGCCCAAGUACAACGCAUCCUCCGCUGGUGCCGCGCUCGUCGUCGCCACCAUCUCCUCCUCAAUGCUGCGCGGCCUUCGCGCGCCGCUUGCCGUCCACCACCACGCCCCGACCACUGCUCGCCAUGGCCACUGCGUCCCGCCAUGCGGAGGCAAAGAAAGGGCGUGGCAGAGCGGAUCCGGUGCCGACGAGGUGGAUGGCGACAAGCGGCGGGGAAGACAGGGAGAGAUUGGCGGCGGGAGAGAGAGGCGCCGUGUGGAGGGAGAGAGAGAGAGAGGGAGAGAGUGGCGAUGAGAGUGAGGGAGGAGACCGUCGCUGGGAAAAAAAAGAGGAGGGUGUCGUAGAGAGGGAGAAGAGAGGGGUAGUACAGAAAAAUACCCACUGUGGGCUUUUUGGGUUGGGACACCCAUUGUGGGUUUGUGUAUCUUCACCGAGUUGCUUCAAAUUUUGAAAACCCCACCUAGGCGUAGCCUCCAUUGAGAGAUGUGUGCCCCUGGGAGUGCCCUCAGUUAGUGAGGGCACUCUAGUAUGGUUUUGAUUGUAGAUGCCCUUAGCAUAUCAUGGUCACUACCAAGCAGAAGUUCAGCACUACCUUGCGUGGUGUGAAGUGCGCCAAUUUCAAACCAAAUGUGAGUAGACUUUGAAAUUAGAGGUGAUGGUAAAUCUAUUUGACCAUUCCCAGCUUCAAAAUCGUAGCAAUUGUGUAUUAGUUUCCACAUAAGAUGAAAUAUAAACAUUGGAUCUAGCGAUUGGUCGAUUGUGAGGUCAGCACGUAGUAUGAGGAGAGACAAGAGGAAGCCGGCCAGCGGUUACACUUGUUGUUUAGUAAUGAAAACGACUCCACCAAACCCAACAUCCGGUGGCUUGCAAAAAGGCCCAGCCCAGUUAUAUGGGUGAUACAAUGACAUGUCCUUUGAAAUCUAAUUUGGGCCCAACCAAGAUGGGCCGCAUGGAAAUCCUACAUGUGCGUAGAUGCAUUGCAUAUUUCUAUACGCCCCAUCUUGUAUGGGUCAUAACUGAGCCACUCCUAGGCUCACCCAACUGGAAUUUUUUGGGCUUAAAUUGUUGA